AUUGAACGCUGGCGGCAUGCCUUACACAUGCAAGUCGAACGGUAACAGGUCUUCGGAUGCUGACGAGUGGCGAACGGGUGAGUAAUACGUCGGAACGUGCCUAGUAGUAGGGGAUAACUACUCGAAAGAGUGGCUAAUACCGCAUGAGAUCUACGGAUGAAAGCAGGGGAUCGCAAGACCUUGUGCUACUAGAGCGGCCGAUGGCAGAUUAGGUAGUUGGUGGGAUAAAAGCUUACCAAGCCGACGAUCUGUAGCUGGUCUGAGAGGACGAUCAGCCACACUGGGACUGAGAAACGGCCCAGACUCCUACGGGAGGCAGCAGUGGGGAAUUUUGGACAAUGGGCGCAAGCCUGAUCCAGCAAUGCCGCGUGCAGGAUGAAGGCCUUCGGGUUGUAAACUGCUUUUGUACGGAACGAAAAGCCCCGGGUUAAUACCCUGGGGUCAUGACGGUACCGUAAGAAUAAGCACCGGCUAACUACGUGCCAGCAGCCGCCGUAA
Molecule: ribosomal RNA, 498 nt
Filed under: uncultured bacterium
Lineage: Bacteria
Description: partial 16S ribosomal RNA
Rfam family: Bacterial small subunit ribosomal RNA
Source: RNAcentral